UACAGAGGUGGCAAGCGUUGUUCGGAAUUACUGGGCGUAAAGGGCGCGUAGGCGGUCUUGCAAGUCCCGUGUGAAAUCCCUUGGCUCAACUGAGGAACUGCACGGGAAACUGCUUGGCUUGAGUUCGGGAGAGGGAAGCGGAAUUCCGGGUGUAGCGGUGAAAUGCGUAGAUAUCCGGAGGAACACCGGUGGCGAAGGCGGCUUCCUGGACCGACACUGACGCUGAGGAGCGAAAGCCAGGGGAGCAAACGGG
RNAcentral lists this ribosomal RNA (253 nucleotides) under uncultured bacterium. RNAcentral describes it as "partial 16S ribosomal RNA". It matches the Rfam family "Bacterial small subunit ribosomal RNA", at positions 524 to 776 of the family's 1533-position model. The record is from RNAcentral.